CAGCCGCCACGGGAAUACGGAGGGAGCUAGCGUUGUUCGGAAUUACUGGGCGUAAAGCGCGCGUAGGCGGUUACUCAAGUCAGAGGUGAAAGCCCGGGGCUCAACCCCGGAACUGCCUUUGAAACUAGGUGACUAGAAUCUUGGAGAGGUCAGUGGAAUUCCGAGUGUAGAGGUGAAAUUCGUAGAUAUUCGGAAGAACACCAGUGACGAAGGCGACUGACUGGACAAGUAUUGACGCUGAGGUGCGAAAGCGUGGGGAGCAAACAGGAUUAGAUACCCCCGUAGUCCCUGUCUCUUAUAC
This 301-nucleotide ribosomal RNA is filed under the name uncultured bacterium. RNAcentral's name for it is "partial 16S ribosomal RNA". It matches the Rfam family "Bacterial small subunit ribosomal RNA", at positions 509 to 807 of the family's 1533-position model. The record is from RNAcentral.